RNAcentral lists this ribosomal RNA (274 nucleotides) under uncultured bacterium. RNAcentral describes it as "partial 16S ribosomal RNA". It matches the Rfam family "Bacterial small subunit ribosomal RNA", at positions 523 to 796 of the family's 1533-position model. The record is from RNAcentral.
AUACGGAGGGUGCGAGCGUUAAUCGGAAUUACUGGGCGUAAAGGGUGCGUAGGCGGCUUGAUAAGUCGGAUGUGAAAGCCCCGGGCUUAACCUGGGAAUUGCAUUCGAUACUGUCAGGCUAGAGUAUGUCAGAGGUUGGCGGAAUUCCUGGUGUAGCGGUGAAAUGCGUAGAUAUCAGGAGGAACACCAGUGGCGAAGGCGGCUAACUGGGACAAUACUGACGCUGAGGCACGAAAGCGUGGGGAGCAAACUGGAUUAGAAACCCUAGUAGUCC